CGGGGCUGGCUCCGGGAGGUGCGAGGCAGGAUGGAGCUGUGAGCGGAGUUUGGUGGCUGCCGGCAGCGCCAUGGAGACGGUGCAGCUGAGGAACCCGCCGCGCCGGCAGCUGAAAAAAUUGGAUGAAGAUAGUUUAACCAAACAACCAGAAGAAGUGUUUGAUGUUUUAGAGAAACUUGGAGAAGGGUCCUAUGGCAGUGUAUACAAAGCUAUUCAUAAGGAAACGGGUCAGAUUGUUGCUAUUAAGCAAGUUCCAGUGGAAUCAGACCUGCAGGAGAUAAUCAAAGAAAUCUCUAUCAUGCAACAAUGUGACAGCCCUCAUGUGGUCAAAUAUUAUGGCAGUUACUUUAAGAAUACAGAUUUGUGGAUCGUUAUGGAGUACUGUGGAGCUGGUUCUGUAUCUGACAUCAUUCGAUUACGAAAUAAGACGUUAACAGAAGAUGAAAUUUCUACAAUAUUACAAUCAACUCUUAAGGGUCUGGAAUACCUUCAUUUUAUGAGAAAAAUACACCGAGAUAUCAAAGCAGGAAAUAUUUUGCUAAACACAGAAGGACAUGCAAAACUUGCAGAUUUUGGAGUUGCAGGCCAACUUACAGAUACAAUGGCCAAGCGGAAUACAGUGAUAGGAACACCAUUUUGGAUGGCCCCUGAAGUGAUUCAGGAAAUCGGGUACAACUGUGUGGCAGACAUCUGGUCUCUGGGAAUAACUGCCAUAGAGAUGGCUGAAGGAAAGCCCCCGUAUGCCGAUAUACAUCCAAUGAGGGCAAUCUUCAUGAUUCCUACAAACCCUCCUCCCACAUUCCGCAAGCCAGAACUGUGGUCAGAUAACUUCAUGGAUUUUGUGAAGCAGUGUCUUGUAAAAAGCCCUGAGCAGAGAGCCACAGCCACUCAGCUCCUACAGCAUCCCUUUGUAAAGAGUGCCAAAGGAGUGUCAAUAUUACGAGAUUUAAUUAAUGAAGCCAUGGAUGUGAAACUGAAACGCCAGGAAGCCCAGCAGCGGGAAGUGGACCAGGACGAUGAAGAAAAUUCAGAGGAAGAUGAAGUGGAUUCUGGCACGAUGGUCCGAGCAGCAGGUGAUGAGAUAGGCACUGUCCGAGUAGCCAGCACCAUGAGCGAUGGAGCCAAUACCAUGAUUGAGCACGGGGACACGUUGCCAUCACAGCUGGGUACCAUGGUGAUCAACGCAGAGGAUGAGGAAGAGGAAGGGACUAUGAAAAGAAGGGAUGAGACCAUGCAGCCUGCGAAACCAUCUUUCCUUGAAUACUUUGAGCAAAAGGAAAAGGAAAAUCAGAUCAACAGCUUUGGCAAGAGUAUACCUGGCCAGCUGAAAAAUUCUUCAGAGUGGAAAAUACCACAGGAUGGAGACUAUGAGUUUCUUAAGACUUGGACAGUGGAAGACCUUCAGAAGAGGCUCUUGGCCCUUGACCCCAUGAUGGAACAGGAGAUUGAAGAGAUCCGGCAGAAGUACCAGUCUAAGCGGCAGCCAAUCCUGGAUGCCAUUGAAGCUAAGAAGAGGCGGCAACAAAACUUCUGAGCGAGGCUGGGCCUCUGGCAGCUCUAGAUCGCGCGUCUCACUUUGUUAGCCAGCACCUGCUCUGUCAUUUCUCCACAGCACCUUUGUGAACUCAGGAACAUGCACCACUGGGAGGGGCUACUUGGCGGUCAUUGUGUUAUCUUGAUGAGUGCAUUUCCAUUGGCCAGAUUUACUAUUUCAAAAGAUUCGUAUGGGCGCUUCUAACUCAGAGUUUUAAAUCCCAGGAACAGAGACUCCUAAGUUGAGUGAUUGCUGGGAAAGUUUUACAUUAUCUUUUUGAUUUUCUUUUCCCAAUAGCUUUCGGUUGUUCUUUCUGGAAGACUUUUUUAAAAAUAUAUAAAUAUGCAUAUAUAUUAUAAAUUAUAAAUAGAUUCCCCAUGCCAUGUGGUGGCAUCUCUGUACAGGUACAGUUUUGAACAUUUUUGCCUCUCUCUGUAAGUUUAUGGUACUGUGGAACAAGGGGGCAGAGGACGUAGGGAGGCUCAUAGGAGCCACUGCAUUGCAGGAGCAAACCUCACCUUUGUAGGACGGCAUUUAAAAAUCAGGACCCGGACAGUCUGCUCACGUUUUCAGCUAUGUGUGGCCCUCGCUGACUUCUGGCGCUGUCAGCUGAAGCACGGGGAAAGCCUUGAGAAUUUGCGUUUGCUCUUGGAGUCCCAGGGGAAGCCUGGCACCCUCUUUGCAAAUUGGCCUUUGUUGUUUCAACGUCUUCAUCCUUCUCCACUCUUCUCACUGCCUCAAGUCACAUCCCAGAUACUGCCCAGUGCCUUAAGAGGAGACCGUGAGCCAGCAAAGGGAUAGGCCUGCCAGGAGCUCUCAGCAAACACAGGGCUGCGCUCCGUUCACAGGAGGGGAAGGGUUUUUGAAGCUCUCAUUGUUCCUGUGUAAAAUCACGCAUGUGUCAGUUCACUCCGCAUUCCUUACAGACAGGGUAGAGGGCAUUGCUUCUGUGUAUGUGACCAUUUUCUUCUUCAUUUCCUGUUGGGGUUUUUUUCGGGGGAGGGGAGAGGUCUGGAAAGGAUAAAUGAAUACCAGACUAAGAUUUGUUCUCCAGGAGCUCCGUUGCUUGAAGGGACCAUGGAGACCAUCCGGUCUGACCCUGUGUUGUGUAGAUGGGAAAGCUGAGGCUUUGAGAAGGGAAGUGACCUGGGGAACAGCACAAAUCAAGUUAGAAGAACAACAGAUUGGAACUCAGGGCUCUUCUCCUUGAACUGAGCAGCCCUUUCAUGAGAGGUGGGAUCUGUGUCUGUUUUGGUCAUGUUGUCCCAGGGAACCCUGCUUAUGGAGACUUACCUCUGGCCUUGCCUCUUUAGUAGCUCACCUGGCUGUGGAGACAUUUCCCUGAGGGAGCUGCACCAUUCAGUCCCAGUGAGUCCAUGAGCUCUGCACUGUCUGUAGACACACACAAACACCCAUGGAGGCACGUUUAGGCUUGAAGGGAAUGAGAGGCUUUGCAAAAGAGCUGUCUUCCUGCAGCUUUGACUCAAAACCUCCUUUAGUCACACAGCAGAAAGAAGACAAUUGAGAAGGACAAAGGUCUUUUUAUUUUCUUCUAAUGUCUUUUCCCUCAGAUGGGAAGCCAUGAUUAAGUAGCACCAGAGGAUACUGUAACCUGACUCCGUAAUUGCUCUCACUCCCUAAACCUUGGGAUCUGAUCGAUGUGAAGGCAGGAGAUGUUCCUCUGUGUGACAAGAUUCUGAUCUUCACAAUUACAGCAAGGUUUUAACAAUGCAAGAUACAAUUGGGCUUUGAUGCUUGGCCUAAAGAAAAUUGAGGACAAUCUGAAGAUCUUAUAAGAGCAGCAGCUGGCAUUUGCUGACCAUAUUCAGGCACUAGGCUAGCAUUCCAUGUUGCCUCCAAAGACUGCAGCUCUUUAUUUCGAGGAAAUUGUUCCUGCCCACCCUUAAGCACCACCUUGAUGGUAUCAUGACUGUAUUCAUUGUCUUUGGAAUCCACAUUUUUAUGUUUGAAAAAAAAAAUAUCCACCAGCUUGCACUCGGACCAACUUGGAAAAUAAAAACUUAAAUGCUGUUGCUGAUGUACAACUUAAAAAUGUGAAGUUUGUAGCUUUAAUUUUUUUUUUGUAAUGAAAACUAAACACACUGGCUUAAGUGCUGACCUGAAAAGCUAUUUUGUAAGGCUUGGAUGUAAAUAAUUGGUUGAGGUCGGCAAUUUGUAUAUGGGUGA
Molecule: RNA transcript, 3721 nt
Organism: Perognathus longimembris pacificus (Pacific pocket mouse)
Lineage: Eukaryota; Metazoa; Chordata; Mammalia; Rodentia; Heteromyidae
Gene: Stk4
Gene name: serine/threonine kinase 4
Exons: 12
Source: RefSeq, a predicted model, not a curated record